RNAcentral lists this unclassified non-coding RNA (253 nucleotides) under uncultured Eubacteriales bacterium. RNAcentral's name for it is "contains 16S-23S intergenic spacer region". It matches the Rfam family "Bacterial small subunit ribosomal RNA", at positions 524 to 776 of the family's 1533-position model. The record is from RNAcentral. Lineage: Bacteria; Bacillati; Bacillota; Clostridia; Eubacteriales.
UACGUAGGUGGCAAGCGUUGUCCGGAUUUAUUGGGCGUAAAGGGCGUGUAGGCGGCCUGGUAAGUGGAGGGUGAAACCCCGCGGCUCAACCGCGGGCCUGCCUUUCAAACUGCUGGGCUUGAGUGUCGGAGAGGGCAGUGGAAUUCCCGGUGUAGCAGUGAAAUGCGUAGAGAUCGGGAGGAACCCCAGUGGCGAAGGCGACUGCCUGGACGAUAACUGACGCUGAGGCGCGAAAGCUGGGGGAGCAAACGGG